Molecule: unclassified non-coding RNA, 90 nt
Filed under: Pseudomonas gessardii
Lineage: Bacteria; Pseudomonadati; Pseudomonadota; Gammaproteobacteria; Pseudomonadales; Pseudomonadaceae
Source: RNAcentral
UGUGGGAGCGGGCUUGCUCGCGAUUGCGGUGGGUCAGCCAGCACAUACUGCGCCUGGCACACGGCUAUCGCGAGCAAGCCCGCUCCCACA